AGAGUUGAUCCUGGCUCAGAGCGAACGUUAGCGGCGGGCCUAACACAUGCAAGUCGAACGAGAACGCUCCUUCGGGAGUUAUUAAAGUGGCGCACGGGUGAGGAACGCGUAGGUAAUUAACCCUUUGGCGGGGGACAACAUUCCGAAAGGAAUGCUAAUACCGCGUAAGACCACGCUCACUACGGUGAAAGUGGUUAAAGGUGCCUCAAAGCACCACCAAAGGAUGAGCCUGCGUCCCAUCAGCUUGUUGGUGAGGUAAUGGCUCACCAAGGCGAAGACGGGUAGCUGGUCUGAGAGGAUGAUCAGCCACACUGGCACUGGAACACGGGCCAGACUCCUACGGGAGGCAGCAGUGAGGAAUAUUGGGCAAUGGGCGAAAGCCUGACCCAGCCACGCCGCGUGUGUGAUGAAGGCCUUCGGGUCGUAAAGCACUGUGGGGAGAGACGAACAUGCGCAGGAGGAAAUGCCUGCGUACUGACGGUACCUCCUUAGCAAGCACCGGCUAACUCUGUGCCAGCAGCCGCGGUAAUACAGAGGGUGCAAACGUUAAUCGGAAUUACUGGGCGUAAAGCGUGUGUAGGCGGUCUCGUAAGUUAGAUGUGAAAGCCCCGGGCUUAACCUGGGAACUGCAUUUAAAACUGCUUGACUAGAGUUAUGGAGAGGGAAGUGGAAUUUCAGGUGUAGCAGGUGAAAUGCGUAGAGAUCUGAAGGAACACCAGUGGCGAAGGCGACUUCCUGGACUAAACUGACGCUGAGGAACGAAAGCGUGGGUAGCAAACGGGAUUAGAUACCCCGGUAGUCCACGCCGUAAACGAUGUCAACUAGCCGUUGGGCUAUUUACAGGUUUAGUGGCGGAGCUAACGUAUUAAGUUGACCGCCUGGGGAGUACGGCCGCAAGGUUAAAACUCAAAUGAAUUGACGGGGGCCCGCACAAGCGGUGGAGCAUGUGGUUUAAUUCGAUGCAACGCGAAGAACCUUACCUACCCUUGACAUCCAGAGAAUCUGUUAGAGAUAGUAGAGUGCCUUCGGGAACUCUGAGACAGGUGCUGCAUGGCUGUCGUCAGCUCGUGUCGUGAGAUGUUGGGUUAAGUCCCGUAACGAGCGCAACCCUUAUCCUUAGUUGCUAGCAGGUAAUGCUGAGAACUCUAGGGAGACUGCCGGUGAUAAACCGGAGGAAGGUGGGGACGACGUCAAGUCAUCAUGGCCCUUAUGGGUAGGGCUACACACGUGCUACAAUGGUCGGUACAGAGGGCCGCAAACUCGCGAGAGUAAGCUAAUCCCAGAAAGCCGAUCUUAGUCCGGAUUGGAGUCUGCAACUCGACUCCAUGAAGUUGGAAUCGCUAGUAAUCGCGAAUCAGAACGUCGCGGUGAAUACGUUCCCGGGCCUUGUACACACCGCUCGUCACACCAUGGGAGUGGGUUGCAAAAGAAGUGGGUAGUCUAACCUUCGGGAGGGCGCUCACCACUUUGUGAUUCAUGACUGGGGUGAAGUCGUAACAAGGUAACC
RNAcentral lists this ribosomal RNA (1507 nucleotides) under uncultured Myxococcales bacterium. RNAcentral describes it as "bacterial SSU rRNA". It matches the Rfam family "Bacterial small subunit ribosomal RNA". The record is from RNAcentral. Lineage: Bacteria; Pseudomonadati; Myxococcota; Myxococcia; Myxococcales.